AGCGAACGCUGGCGGCAGGCCUAACACAUGCAAGUCGAACGAACCUUUCGGGGUUAGUGGCGGACGGGUGAGUAACACGUUGGAACGUGCCUUUAGGUUCGGAAUAACUCAGGGAAACUUGUGCUAAUACCGAAUGUGCCCUUCGGGGGAAAGAUUUAUCGCCUUUAGAGCGGCCCGCGUCUGAUUAGCUAGUUGGUUGAGGUAAUGGCUCACCAAGGCGACGAUCAGUAGCUGGUCUGAGAGGAUGAUCAGCCACAUUGGGACUGAGACACGGCCCAAACUCCUACGGGAGGCAGCAGUGGGGAAUCUUGCGCAAUGGGCGAAAGCCUGACGCAGCCAUGCCGCGUGAAUGAUGAAGGUCUUAGGAUUGUAAAAUUCUUUCACCGGGGACGAUAAUGACGGUACCCGGAGAAGAAGCCCCGGCUAACUUCGUG
This 434-nucleotide ribosomal RNA is filed under the name uncultured bacterium. Its description in RNAcentral is "partial 16S ribosomal RNA". It matches the Rfam family "Bacterial small subunit ribosomal RNA", at positions 29 to 507 of the family's 1533-position model. The record is from RNAcentral.